This 949-nucleotide long non-coding RNA is filed under the name Homo sapiens (human). RNAcentral describes it as "non-protein coding LINC01206:5". Lineage: Eukaryota; Metazoa; Chordata; Mammalia; Primates; Hominidae. The record is from RNAcentral.
CUUGGCAGUUGAGAUUCAGACCUUGACAGUUGUAACCGAUAGACUGGGCUGGGGCAACGCUGAUGAAAGGCAAAUUCCUGAGAGAAAAAUCACCCAGAUUUUUCAGUGCCUUCUCUAGCUUUCUAGAAGUUGUUAUGAGUGGACCUGACUACCUAGAGAGAGUAAUACAGAAGCUCCGUGCCGAUCACAGCUACCUCAUUACCAUGUUCCUCCAAGAUGGCCGCCCCUGAGGAGAAUCAUCAACUGGGCUUUACGGAAGAGAGAAAUCCAAACGACCAUCAGCAACAAAUGAAAGACUGAAGUUGAAAGUUUCAAGAUUGUCAAGAAUGACGAGUUGGACUUGGUCUAGUUACUUCCACAGCAGCAGGAGGAACAUGUGUGUGACUCAGGAUAACUGGGGAAGCCUUGGCUAGGCUUUCCUCAUGUCAACCUACCACUCAAAGGGAGAAAACCUCCUGAUCAGAGGUGCCCAGAACCCAGGAAAUCCAUAAUUUUUGAAUGCUGGCCGAGGUCUGUGACCUCUGACUGAAUGGUUUCCAAGCUCCGAAUUCCUAGGUGAUGUUUUCAUUUGUUCACACUUGCUGAAGAAGGGAAAGGCUCUCUGAUUUACGUGUAAGCAAAACAAUCUAAACAGUAGGAUAAAAUCAUGUUGGAAUGGAGUUCUGUGUGGAUGCUCCUUUGAACCAAAUCAGUUCCACAACUGACCCUGUCAGGGACAUAUAAAUUUAGCAUUUUGGUGUGGAUACAGAAGACGAGAUUAACACAGAUCAAGUAACAUGGAAAUAAAAAAGGAGACAAUGCUGGAUGAUACAGGGGCAGCCAACAAGAGGAGAAAACCCAAGCAUUGGCAAAUGCCUCAUUAUCCAAAGAACACUGAGGUGUGGAGCAAAACUGUGUUGAAUGAACUGUAGAUGGAAAUUCUCUCCUUCCCACCGAGGAGCCGCUGCAG